GACGAACGCUGGCGGCGUGCUUAACACAUGCAAGUCGAGCGAUGAAACACCUUCGGGUGCGGAUUAGCGGCGAACGGGUGAGGAACACGUGAGGAAUCUGCCUUCCACUCUGGGAUAACUCCGGGAAACCGGGGCUAAUACCGGAUACUUUCAACUGGCGGCAUCGCCGGUUGAUGAAAGUUUUUCGGUGGAAGAUGACCUCGCGGCCUAUCAGCUUGUUGGUGAGGUAAAGGCUCACCAAGGCGACGACGGGUAGCCGGCCUGCGGGGGCGACCGGCCACACUGGGACUGAGACACGGCCCAGACUCCUACGGGAGGCAGCAGUGGGGAAUAUUGGGCAAUGGAGGAAACUCUGACCCAGCGACGCCGCGUGAGGGAUGAAGGCCUUCGGGUUGUAAACCUCUUUCAGCAGGGAAUAAGCGAAAGUGAAGGUACCUGCAGAAGAAGCACCGGCUAACUAUGUGCCAGCCGCCGCCGUAA
This 480-nucleotide ribosomal RNA is filed under the name uncultured bacterium. Its description in RNAcentral is "partial 16S ribosomal RNA". It matches the Rfam family "Bacterial small subunit ribosomal RNA", at positions 28 to 523 of the family's 1533-position model. The record is from RNAcentral.